GUGGGAAUGGCUCAGUGGAUGAAGUGCCUGCCUUGUAAGCAUGAAGUCCUGAGUUCAAUUCCCAGAACUCACG
Molecule: transfer RNA, 73 nt
Filed under: Mus musculus (house mouse)
Lineage: Eukaryota; Metazoa; Chordata; Mammalia; Rodentia; Muridae
Rfam family: tRNA
About the family: Transfer RNA (tRNA) molecules are approximately 80 nucleotides in length. Their secondary structure includes four short double-helical elements and three loops (D, anti-codon, and T loops).
Source: Rfam by way of RNAcentral